This 563-nucleotide ribosomal RNA is filed under the name uncultured bacterium. RNAcentral's name for it is "bacterial SSU rRNA". It matches the Rfam family "Bacterial small subunit ribosomal RNA", at positions 56 to 602 of the family's 1533-position model. The record is from RNAcentral.
UGCAAGUCGAACGGUAACGCGGAGAGAAGCUUGCUUCUCUCCGGCGACGAGUGGCGAACGGGUGAGUAAUACAUCGGAACGUGUCCGCUCGUGGGGGACAACCAGCCGAAAGGUUGGCUAAUACCGCAUGAGUUCUACGGAAGAAAGAGGGGGACCCGCAAGGGCCUCUCGCGAGCGGAGCGGCCGAUGACUGAUUAGUCGGUUGGUGAGGUAACGGCUCACCAAAGCAACGAUCAGUAGCUGGUCUGAGAGGACGACCAGCCACACUGGGACUGAGACACGGCCCAGACUCCUACGGGAGGCAGCAGUGGGGAAUUUUGGACAAUGGGCGCAAGCCUGAUCCAGCUAUUCCGCGUGUGGGAUGAAGGCCCUCGGGUUGUAAACCACUUUUGUAGAGAACGAAAAGACACCUUCGAAUAAAGGGUGUUGCUGACGGUACUCUAAGAAUAAGCACCGGCUAACUACGUGCCAGCAGCCGCGGUAAUACGUAGGGUUCGAGCGUUAAUCGGAAUUACUGGGCGUAAAGGGUGCGCAGGCGGUUGAGUAAGACAGAUGUGAAAUCC